RNAcentral lists this non-coding RNA (28 nucleotides) under Bombyx mori (domestic silkworm). Lineage: Eukaryota; Metazoa; Arthropoda; Insecta; Lepidoptera; Bombycidae. The record is from RNAcentral.
UACAUUCAGAUCUGUUACCUUAUCGAUA